Molecule: long non-coding RNA, 965 nt
Filed under: Sorghum bicolor (sorghum)
Lineage: Eukaryota; Viridiplantae; Streptophyta; Magnoliopsida; Poales; Poaceae
Description: long non-coding RNA (SBIC_LNC015295)
Source: RNAcentral
UGGCUGAAUAUUAAUGAUGAAACAAAUGACAUCUGUAAGUAUCUAUGUUAAAUAAAGAGUCAACAAUGUGCAUGUAUAACGAUAAAUAAAAAUAGGAUGACAAAUGGCAUCACAGGAUCGGCAUACUUAUCACAAGGGAGGAUUGUGCAUGCUGUAUGUGAGUGCGCUGAAAUUGGCAUGCAUGUGGACUGUGUGUUCUAUGGACUUUUAGUGCAGCCUAGUGUAUACUCCAUGGAAUGAGUCUGAGACUAAAAAUCGGUAUCAUUCGUGUUCUUAAAGGAGGACUAUUUGGUCCUGUGAAAAGGAUGGAUUCAGUUUUGUUAAUAAACAUAUAGGAAUGUUGAAAUAUAAUGCAUCAGCCAUAUAUUCACAUUCUAAUAAGGUAUUUAGGUAUUGCAUGUAUCAGUAAAAAUACAACUUGGCUAUCAGGUGCCUGUAAUUAGAAUACCCAUGUUUUGAUUAGGAAGGAGAUGACAAGAGGAAGUAGGCAUAACCAGGUGCAGCUAAUGUGAAGAUAUUUUUGAAUUGGUAGCAGAGGCUUUAUAAAAUUUGUAGAUCAUAUUUGUGCUGUGAUAUAAUAAUUCAGGGCAUAAUUUUCAGAGGCUAUAUUUACAAAAUUUAUAUUAUAGCAGAGGCAUAAUUUUCAAAACCUCUAUGCUACCCCAAAGCAUACAUGAAAAUUUCCCAUCAAAACCUCUAUGGUAACCCAACCAUUCUUCUUGCAACAGGGGCACCUAUUAUGAUAUAUCAAAUUUGCAAAACCAUGAGCCGUAUAUAUUAUGCAGUGACCACAAUUAAUACUCAAUUGAAGAUGCUACAAAAAGGAAAGUAAAAACACACAUAAAAUUUUCCCAUGACUUAAAUGGUCCCAUACUUUUUUAUCCAUCAAAAAAAUGCCAAAUAUCUUACUUUUGCGGAUGACAACUGCAGCUUCUCGUUAGGAUAGUAGUUGCUUUGAAUUUUUU